AGAGUUUGAUCAUGGCUCAGGAUGAACGCUAGCUACAGGCUUAACACAUGCAAGUCGAGGGGCAUCAGUUUGGUUUGCUUGCAAACCAAAGCUGGCGACCGGCGCACGGGUGAGUAACACGUAUCCAACCUGCCUCAUACUCGGGGAUAGCCUUUCGAAAGGAAGAUUAAUAUCCGAUAGCAUAUAUUUCCCGCAUGGGUUUUAUAUUAAAGAAAUUCGGUAUGAGAUGGGGAUGCGUUCCAUUAGUUUGUUGGCGGGGUAACGGCCCACCAAGGCAACGAUCAGUAGGGGUUCUGAGAGGAAGGUCCCCCACAUUGGAACUGAGACACGGUCCAAACUCCUACGGGAGGCAGCA
This 355-nucleotide ribosomal RNA is filed under the name uncultured bacterium. RNAcentral describes it as "bacterial SSU rRNA". It matches the Rfam family "Bacterial small subunit ribosomal RNA", at positions 8 to 353 of the family's 1533-position model. The record is from RNAcentral.